UACUUGCGAGGGUCGGCUUACUGCUAAGGGGUGCGCUAAUUACAGACCCCGAACUGAGUUGUAAAAAAAAAAAAAAUCCGGAAGCCGCGAGCCCGCAGCUUGCAAACUGCCGGUUUCUCCCAGCUCCAUGGUUGGCGUGUGACCUUUCUACACUCUGGAGGACUCAGAAAGCAAGACCAAUGAGCCGAUCGCUCCUGUGCGCAGGACAAUAAAACUGGGUUCCCAUUGGUCAGUAUCGCAAGAGCCCGCCCAACAACUUCCGGAAAGCCUUCUUUAAGUUAAGGUCUCGCGACCAUUUCUGCCUCUUAGCGACCGGCCGACGGCGAAGAUCUGCCCGGUGGAGGACAGCAGACAGCGUGGACCUCUCCACCCUUCCCCCAAGCCUCUGAAUAAAGUGUGUUUGACUCUAA
Molecule: long non-coding RNA, 410 nt
Organism: Peromyscus leucopus (white-footed mouse)
Lineage: Eukaryota; Metazoa; Chordata; Mammalia; Rodentia; Cricetidae
Exons: 2
Source: RefSeq, a predicted model, not a curated record